Molecule: RNA transcript, 1287 nt
Organism: Pyrus x bretschneideri (Chinese white pear)
Lineage: Eukaryota; Viridiplantae; Streptophyta; Magnoliopsida; Rosales; Rosaceae
Exons: 6
Source: RefSeq, a predicted model, not a curated record
CUGACGAUUGCCAAAUCUGUAGUAUCCAAACAGCAAACGAGGGAUCAAACAACAAUGGAAGACUUAUGGAAGCGAGCGAAGACCUUCGCCGAAGAAGCGGCCAAGAAAUCCCAAACCCUAACCACCUCCGCCACGAUCACCGACCUAGUUUCCGAAACCGCCAAGCGAUCCCGUGAGUUCGCCGCCGAGGCGUCCAAGAAGGCUGACGAGAUCAAGACGGCGGCGCUUAAGCAGGCCGAUCAGAUCAAGUCCCUCAAUGUCUCCGAGAUGAUACCUCCCCAGCUCGCCUCGCUCUCGAUCGUCAACUCCGCCUCCGCCUCGUCCGCCCCUGAGCCGCCGUCGCCGUUGGAGCUCAAGAAGUUUGGUGUCACGACGAUCUCAGAGAUUUUGUCCAGGGACUCACUUCCGAUACCUUCAAGCAUUUUCCGGUCCAAGAUGCGGCGGAGGAGGUCUCCGAUGUGCCGACGACCGCAUCGAAUGUAAGGAAAGAUCUGACGGAGUGGCAGGAGCGGCAUGCGACUUUGGUGCUUACUACUGUCAAGGAAAUUUCAAGGCUGAGGUAUGAGUUGUGUCCGCGAGUUAUGAAAGAAAGAAGAUUCUGGAAGAUAUAUUUUACCCUUGUGAGCAGUCAUGUGGCUCCAUAUGAGAAGCAAUACAUGGAGGAAUUGAAGGUCGAGGAAGCAGAGAAACUAAAAGAUGAUAUUGUGAAGCCAACACCUCCUGUUGGAGGAACUGACAAAUCAGAAGGAUCUGAAAAGAACACAAAGCCUUUAGUUUCAAAAUCAUCGUCAGCUGAACAGGAAUUGGAUAGUUUCCUUUUGGGUGAUCUUGAAGACAGUGAUGGGGGUCCGGAUGAUCGUGAUGAUGGUGAUCGGAGCUUUGAUGAUGAUUUUGACAAGAUCGACAAUUCGGAUGUCGAAGAUGAGAAGCACGAGAAGAAAUGACAACUGCAACAGAAUAAAAUUGCUGCCAUGGAUAAUAUGAAGGAGAAAGCAAAACUAGCUUCUGUAAGACUAACAAAUAGAUCGAGGUAAACCCGAAGCGAAAGACGUCAAGCAGUAUUUAUUUCUUUAUCUCACAUUUUUUUCAUUUUUAAGUUGUAGAGUUGAUUACUUUGUAAAACUUGAAGUGGGACGCCAUAUGAAGUCAUCCGUUUGUUAUAUUUGCCGUAGACAGUGACGGGUAUUGGUACUCGUUUGCCUACAAAUGGGUCGACCCGGUUGCUUUGUUCUUGUACAGAUGACCUGAUUAUUAUGUUAAAUAAUAAAUAUGGUUCUUAUUGUUUAA